Molecule: transfer RNA, 74 nt
Filed under: Fidelibacterota bacterium
Lineage: Bacteria; Pseudomonadati; Fidelibacterota
Description: tRNA-Pro
Rfam family: tRNA
About the family: Transfer RNA (tRNA) molecules are approximately 80 nucleotides in length. Their secondary structure includes four short double-helical elements and three loops (D, anti-codon, and T loops). Further hydrogen bonds mediate the characteristic L-shaped molecular structure. tRNAs have two regions of fundamental functional importance: the anti-codon, which is responsible for specific mRNA codon recognition, and the 3' end, to which the tRNAs corresponding amino acid is attached (by aminoacyl-tRNA synthetases). tRNAs cope with the degeneracy of the genetic code in two manners: having more than one tRNA (with a specific anti-codon) for a particular amino acid; and 'wobble' base-pairing, i.e. permitting non-standard base-pairing at the 3rd anti-codon position.
Source: RNAcentral
CGGGGUGUGGCGCAGUUCGGUAGCGCACUUGGCUGGGGGUCAAGUGGUCGCAGGUUCAAAUCCUGUCACCCCGA